Molecule: ribosomal RNA, 433 nt
Filed under: uncultured bacterium
Lineage: Bacteria
Description: partial 16S ribosomal RNA
Rfam family: Bacterial small subunit ribosomal RNA
Source: RNAcentral
AACGAACGCUGGCGGCAUGCCUAACACAUGCAAGUCGAACGAGACCUUCGGGUCUAGUGGCGCACGGGUGCGUACCGCGUGGGAACCUGCCCUUAGGUUCGGAAUAACUCCCCGAAAGGGGUGCUAAUACCGGAUAAUGUCCUCGGACCAAAGAUUUAUCGCCUUUGGAUGGGCCCGCGUUGGAUUAGCUAGUUGGUAGGGUAAAAGCCUACCAAGGCGACGAUCCAUAGCUGGUCUGAGAGGAUGAUCAGCCACACUGGGACUGAGACACGGCCCAGACUCCUACGGGAGGCAGCAGUGGGGAAUAUUGGACAAUGGACGAAAGCCUGAUCCAGCAAUGCCGCGUGAGUGAUGAAGGCCUUAGGGUUGUAAAGCUCUUUUACCCGGGAUGAUAAUGACAGUACCGGGAGAAUAAGCGCCGGCUAACUCCGUG